This 315-nucleotide unclassified non-coding RNA is filed under the name Hevea brasiliensis (rubber tree). Lineage: Eukaryota; Viridiplantae; Streptophyta; Magnoliopsida; Malpighiales; Euphorbiaceae. The record is from RNAcentral.
CAUGAAUAUGGUUCCAGCAAUCAGCCUCAGAAUAGCAUUGUUUCCAAUGGCUGAAUCAGCCAGCCACUCUUUCAAGCUUGAAAUAGUGGAUUCCUUGUUUGCUGGGCUUGAGAGAUACAAGGCCAGCAAUUUCACCGCCUGGAGCGGAGUGGCAGCCGAAUUGUCGAUUUCAUUGAUCACCAGCUGGUAGCUGCCAAGGGCAAUAUAAGAGCGGUAGACGAGGCAGUCACGCUCAACGGCGUCGUCGGGGGAGAGAUUGGGAAGGUCGCUGUUGUUGAUGGCAGCCUGGUAAGCUCCCAAGUAGAAAUUGUUUCG